This 253-nucleotide ribosomal RNA is filed under the name uncultured bacterium. RNAcentral describes it as "partial 16S ribosomal RNA". It matches the Rfam family "Bacterial small subunit ribosomal RNA", at positions 524 to 776 of the family's 1533-position model. The record is from RNAcentral.
UACGGAGGGAGCUAGCGUUGUUCGGAAUUACUGGGCGUAAAGCGCACGUAGGUGGCGACGUAAGUCGGGUGUGAAAGCCCCGGGCUCAACCUGGGAAUUGCAUUCGAGACUGCAUUGCUGGAGUACGGAAGAGGCGAGUGGAAUUCCCGGUGUAGCGGUGAAAUGCGCAGAUAUCGGGAGGAACACCAAUUGCGAAGGCAGCUCGCUGGGACGUUACUGACGCUGAGACGCGAAAGCGUGGGGAGCAAACAGG